CCUGGGAUAAUCCGUCAGCUGAGCUGGCUUAACCCCGGGCCAUGCUUUUUCAGGAUGCCAGUCUGCCUGCCCAGCACUGCGGUCCGAGAACUUGGCUUUGUACAGAAACCUAUUGUAUUCAAAAACACAGCUGGUUACAGUGCAACUUUCAGUGUAACUAAGCGAUGGCAACAGCAUUAAUGGCAUUACGUGCGAGUCAGGAUGGAAGACCUGGUCCUCAGCUGGUUUGAUUUGGGCUGGAGAUGCUGUGUCGCAUUUUAUCCAUGAUGUGACUUCCAGGUUCAAGAUUUGGAGGGUUACAUGAAAAAUGUUGGUUUGCCAUUAAGGUUGUCCUGGAUUAUUUCAGUAGAGAUGGUGCCACCUAAAAGUGAAAACCUGAUCUCUUGGCUUCUGAAGUAGGAUGCUUUUCUUCAGAUUAGUUGAAUAUGAAUUGCUGAAAGUUCCCCAGACACAGACCCUGCGUUUAAGGUGUCCAUGUCUUGCUGCUGAAGAGUCAUCGCUAAAUCAGUGUCUGCAGUUCAAUGCAGAUACAUCAGGAGUGAGCAAGGCUGUCCCCCAACCACCGUGAGUUUCCUCUGCAUAGGGAGAAUGGAAACCUACACCCACCUUCUUCAGCUCUGCUUUGCAAUAAUGACCAAACAAUGGUCCCAUGAGAUUGUUUUCCUAAUGAGGGAAUAAAACACUUCCCAACCCUCUGCUUUUCCGGAAUGAUGACCCCCAAAUCUCCUACUGACACCCCGGCUGAGAGCCAGCGGGAAGCUGGAUGUGGGCUGCUGGCUGAGUGAACUACUUCU
Long non-coding RNA from Aquila chrysaetos chrysaetos, 794 nucleotides. RefSeq lists it as uncharacterized. The record is from RefSeq and is a predicted model, not a curated record. Lineage: Eukaryota; Metazoa; Chordata; Aves; Accipitriformes; Accipitridae. The transcript is spliced from 6 exons.